GACGAACGCUGGCGGCGUGCCUAAUACAUGCAAGUUGAGCGCUGAAGGUUGGUACUUGUACCAACUGGAUGAGCAGCGAACGGGUGAGUAACGCGUGGGGAAUCUGCCUUUGAGCGGGGGACAACAUUUGGAAACGAAUGCUAAUACCGCAUAAAAACUUUAAACACAAGUUUUAAGUUUGAAAGAUGCAAUUGCAUCACUCAAAGAUGAUCCCGCGUUGUAUUAGCUAGUUGGUGAGGUAAAGGCUCACCAAGGCGAUGAUACAUAGCCGACCUGAGAGGGUGAUCGGCCACAUUGGGACUGAGACACGGCCCAAACUCCUACGGGAGGCAGCAGUAGGGAAUCUUCGGCAGUGGACGAAAGUCUGACCGAGCAACGCCGCGUGAGUGAAGAAGGUUUUCGGAUCGUAAAACUCUGUUGGUAGAGAAGAACGUUGGUGAGAGUGGAAAGCUCAUCAAGUGACGGUAACUACCCAGAAAGGGACGGCUAACUACGU
Molecule: ribosomal RNA, 496 nt
Filed under: uncultured bacterium
Lineage: Bacteria
Description: partial 16S ribosomal RNA
Rfam family: Bacterial small subunit ribosomal RNA
Source: RNAcentral